Molecule: ribosomal RNA, 253 nt
Filed under: uncultured bacterium
Lineage: Bacteria
Description: partial 16S ribosomal RNA
Rfam family: Bacterial small subunit ribosomal RNA
Source: RNAcentral
GACGAACCGUGCAAACGUUGUUCGGAAUCACUGGGCUUAAAGGGCGCGUAGGCGGGUCACCAAGUCAGGGGUGAAAUCCUCCAGCUUAACUGGAGAACAGCCUCUGAUACUGGUGGUCUCGAGUGAGGUAGGGGCAUGCGGAACUGAUGGUGGAGCGGUGAAAUGUGUUGAUAUCAUCAGGAACUCCGGUGGCGAAAGCGGCGUGCUGGACCUCUACUGACGCUGAGGCGCGAAAGCCAGGGUAGCGAACGGG